AUACGGAGGGGGUUAGCGUUGUUCGGAAUUACUGGGCGUAAAGCGCACGUAGGCGGACUGGAAAGUUGGGGGUGAAAUCCCGGGGCUCAACCCCGGAACUGCCUCCAAAACUUCCAAGCUAGAGAUCGAGAGAGGUGAGUGGAAUUCCAAGUGUAGAGGUGAACUUCGUAGAUAUUUGGAGGAACACCAGUGGCGAAGGCGGCUCACUGGCUCGAUACUGACGCUGAGGUGCGAAAGCGUGGGGAGCAAACAGGAUUAGAAACCCUAGUAGUCC
Molecule: ribosomal RNA, 274 nt
Filed under: uncultured bacterium
Lineage: Bacteria
Description: partial 16S ribosomal RNA
Rfam family: Bacterial small subunit ribosomal RNA
Source: RNAcentral